CCUACGGGAGGCAGCAGUGAGGAAUAUUGGUCAAUGGACGGGAGACUGAACCAGCCAAGCCGCGUGAGGGAUGAAGGUACAGAGUAUCGUAAACCUCUUUUGUCAGGGAACAAAGGCGGGGACGUGUCCCCGGACGAGUGUACCUGAAGUAAAAGGAUCGGCUAACUCCGGUCCAUCCGACGCGGUACUACGGGGUAUGCGAGUUUUAUCCGGUUCUAUUGGGUUAAAGGGGGGGGCAGGGGGUCUGUUAAGUCAGCGGUAAAAGCCAGGGGCUCAACCCCGGCCCGCCGUUGAACCUGGCAGUCUCGAGUUGGAGAGAAGUAUGCGGAAUGCGCGGUGUAGCGGUGAAAUGCAUAGAUAUCGCGCAGAACUCCGAUUGCGAAGGCAGCAUGCCGGCUCCACACUGACGCUGAGGCACGAAAGCGUGGGUAUCGAACAGGAUUAGAUACCCUAGUAGUC
Molecule: ribosomal RNA, 459 nt
Filed under: uncultured bacterium
Lineage: Bacteria
Description: partial 16S ribosomal RNA
Rfam family: Bacterial small subunit ribosomal RNA
Source: RNAcentral